CGAAAUUGUGUGAAAACACUCCGCCCUUCGGGCGUCGUGUUUCCACACAAUUUCUCGUUUUCCCAAUUUCCACUCGUGUUGAUAUAACUGUAUAUCAACACGGAAAAUGUUUUAUAUUUGUUAAAUACAACAUAGAAGAAUAGAACAAAAUGUAAUAUUUUAAAAACGAAAUAUGGCCGAUUUAACAAGCAGUAAUAACGAAUCGAAACAAACAAUUUCAGGAAAUGGACAAGAUUGCAAUAAAAACCAAGAAACGAAAAUAGUUUCGAGUCAUUCAAAUUCUUCGCUGAAUCGGCCAUUUGUAGCGAGCAACGAAGCGGCGGGGGAAACGGUGUCGAAGAGAAAACGAAAACGUAUGCUUAAACAUCAGCAAUGGCUUCAGAGAAAAGAACAGAAAAAG
Non-coding RNA from Paramuricea clavata, 400 nucleotides. The record is from the annotation of a GenBank genome assembly. NCBI's taxonomy places the organism in Eukaryota, Metazoa, Cnidaria, Anthozoa, Malacalcyonacea, Plexauridae.